Molecule: ribosomal RNA, 323 nt
Filed under: uncultured archaeon
Lineage: Archaea
Description: bacterial SSU rRNA
Rfam family: Archaeal small subunit ribosomal RNA
Source: RNAcentral
CCGAUCAGGUUGUUGGUGGGGUAACGGCUCACCAAGCCUAUAACCGGUACGGGCCCUGAGAGGGGAAGCCCGGAGAUGGAACCUGAGACAAUGUUCCAGGCCCUAUGGGGCGCAGCAGGCGCGAAACCUCCACAAUGCACGAAAUUGUGAUGGGGUUACCCCGAGUGCCUUCCUUAAAGGAGGGCUUUUCUUCGGUGUAAGGAGCCAGAGGAAUAAGGAGGGGGCAAGAUUGGUGUCAGCCGCCGCGGUAAUACCAACCCUCCGAGUGGUACGGAUGAUUAUUUGGCUUACAGCGUCCGUAGCUGGCUUGAAAAGUCUUCCGU